This 439-nucleotide ribosomal RNA is filed under the name uncultured bacterium. RNAcentral's name for it is "bacterial SSU rRNA". It matches the Rfam family "Bacterial small subunit ribosomal RNA", at positions 338 to 795 of the family's 1533-position model. The record is from RNAcentral.
CCUACGGGUGGCAGCAGUGGGGAAUAUUGCACAAUGGGGGAAACCUUGUUCCGGCAACCCCGCGUGACCGUUGAAGGCCUCCGGUCGGAAAAGCCCUUUCUUAGGGGAGGAUUAUGACCGUACCUUAGGAGGGAGCCCCGGCUAACUACGUUCCAGGCGCCGCGGUAAUACGGAGGGGGCUAGCGUUAUCCGGAAUUACUGGGCGGAAAGGGUGCGUAGGCGGCCCUUCAAGUCAGAGGUGAAAGGCUACGGCUCAACCGUAGUAAGCCUUUGAAACUGUAGGGCUUGAGUGCAGGAGAGGAGAGUGGAAUUCCCAGUGUAGCGGUGAAAUGCGUAGAUAUUGGGAGGAACACCAGUUGCGAAGGCGGCUCUCUGGACUGUAACUGACGCUGAGGCACGAAAGCGUGGGGAGCGAACAGGAUUAGAUACCCGUGUAGUC